CCUACGGGAGGCAGCAGUGGGGAAUCUUGCGCAAUGGACGAAAGUCUGACGCAGCCAUGCCGCGUGAAUGAUGAAGGUCUUAGGAUUGUAAAGUUCUUUAGCCUGUGACGAUGAUGACGGUAACAGGAGAAUAAGCCCCGGCUAACUUCGUGCCAGCAGCCGCGGUAAUACGAAGGGGGCUAGCGUUGUUCGGAAUUACUGGGCGUAAAGCGCGCGUAGGCGGUUAUGCAAGCCAGAGGUGAAAUGCCUGAGCUCAACUUAGGAAUUGCCUUUGGAACUGCAUGGCUUUGAGGACGAGAGAGGUGAGUGGAAUUCCCAGUGUAGAGGUGAAAUUCGUAGAUAUUGGGAAGAACACCGGUGGCGAAGGCGGCUCACUGGCUCGUUUCUGACGCUGUAGCGCGAAAGCGUGGGGAUCAAACAGGAUUAGAUACCCUGGUAGUCCACGCUGUAAACGAUGAGUGCUAGGCGUUGGCACGCUUGCGUGUCAGUGCGCNGCUACGCGUGAGCACNCCGCCGUCGGGAGGUACGGUCGCGAGAAGUUAAACGUUAAAGUAGUAGUUAGACGGCGUGAGACGUAGACCGACGGACGACGACGGAGGGGAGGUUAGG
RNAcentral lists this ribosomal RNA (609 nucleotides) under uncultured bacterium. RNAcentral's name for it is "bacterial SSU rRNA". The stretch from base 1 to 515 matches the Rfam family "Bacterial small subunit ribosomal RNA", at positions 338 to 873 of the family's 1533-position model. The record is from RNAcentral.